This 1167-nucleotide ribosomal RNA is filed under the name Lactiplantibacillus plantarum. RNAcentral describes it as "bacterial SSU rRNA". It matches the Rfam family "Bacterial small subunit ribosomal RNA", at positions 37 to 1130 of the family's 1533-position model. The record is from RNAcentral. Lineage: Bacteria; Bacillati; Bacillota; Bacilli; Lactobacillales; Lactobacillaceae.
CGGGGGCGGGUCCUAAUACAUGCAAGUCGAACGAACUCUGGUAUUGAUUGGUGCUUGCAUCAUGAUUUACAUUUGAGUGAGUGGCGAACUGGUGAGUAACACGUGGGAAACCUGCCCAGAAGCGGGGGAUAACACCUGGAAACAGAUGCUAAUACCGCAUAACAACUUGGACCGCAUGGUCCGAGUUUGAAAGAUGGCUUCGGCUAUCACUUUUGGAUGGUCCCGCGGCGUAUUAGCUAGAUGGUGGGGUAACGGCUCACCAUGGCAAUGAUACGUAGCCGACCUGAGAGGGUAAUCGGCCACAUUGGGACUGAGACACGGCCCAAACUCCUACGGGAGGCAGCAGUAGGGAAUCUUCCACAAUGGACGAAAGUCUGAUGGAGCAACGCCGCGUGAGUGAAGAAGGGUUUCGGCUCGUAAAACUCUGUUGUUAAAGAAGAACAUAUCUGAGAGUAACUGUUCAGGUAUUGACGGUAUUUAACCAGAAAGCCACGGCUAACUACGUGCCAGCAGCCGCGGUAAUACGUAGGUGGCAAGCGUUGUCCGGAUUUAUUGGGCGUAAAGCGAGCGCAGGCGGUUUUUUAAGUCUGAUGUGAAAGCCUUCGGCUCAACCGAAGAAGUGCAUCGGAAACUGGGAAACUUGAGUGCAGAAGAGGACAGUGGGAACUCCAUGUGGUAGCGGGUGAAAUGCGUAGAUAUAUGGGGAGAACACCAGUGGGCGGAAGGCGGCUGUCUGGUCUGUAACUGACGCUGAGGCUCGAAAGUAUGGGGUAGGCAAACAGGAUUAGAUACCCUGGUAGUCCAUACCGUAAACAAUGAAAGGCUAAUGUUGGAGGGUUUCCCGCCCUUCAUGCUGCACUAACGCAUUAAGCAUUCCGCCUGGGGAGUUACGGCCGCAAGGCUGGAACUCAAAGAAAUUGAGCGGGGGCCGCACAAGCGGGGGGAGGCAGGUGGGGUUAAUUCGAAGCUACACCAAGAACCUUACCAGGUCUUGGAGAUACUAUGGAAAAUCUAAAAAAUGUAGACGUUCCCUUUCGGGAACAAUGGAUACAGAGUGAGUGCAUGGGUGGUCGAGUCAACCUCCGCUGUCGUGGAGAGAUGGUAGGAGGUUAAAUGCCCCCCGCAACGGAGACCGCAGCCCGUGUAGUAUGUAGUCGAGGAUUGGCC